RNAcentral lists this ribosomal RNA (531 nucleotides) under Homoneura thalhammeri. Its description in RNAcentral is "partial 16S ribosomal RNA". It matches the Rfam family "Bacterial large subunit ribosomal RNA", at positions 1892 to 2620 of the family's 2925-position model. Lineage: Eukaryota; Metazoa; Arthropoda; Insecta; Diptera; Lauxaniidae. The record is from RNAcentral.
AGUUGUUCGCUCGUCAGCUGUGUCUGACCUGCCCACUGAAGUUUUAAAUGGCCGCAGUAUAUUAACUGUGCAAAGGUAGCAUAAUCAUUAGUCUUUUAAUUGGAGGCUGGUAUGAAUGGUUGGACGAAAUAUAUACUGUUUCAAUUAAAUUUAAAAUAGAAUUUUAUUUUUUAGUUAAAAAGCUAAAAUAUAAUUAAAAGACGAGAAGACCCUAUAAAUCUUUAUAUUUGAAUUAUUUUAAUUAUAAAGAUUAAUUUAUUUAUAAUAAUUUAAAAUAUUUUAUUGGGGUGAUAUUAAAAUUUAAUGAACUUUUAAUUAAUUAAAUCAUUGAUGUAUGAAUAAUUGAUCCAAUUAUAUUGAUUAAAAAUUUAAGUUACUUUAGGGAUAACAGCGUAAUUUUUUUGGAGAGUUCAUAUCGAUAAAAAAGAUUGCGACCUCGAUGUUGGAUUAAGAGAUAAAUUUGGGUGUAGCCGUUCAAAUGUUAAGUCUGUUCGACUUUUAAAUUCUUACGUGAUCUGAGUUCAGACCGGA